ACGGGAGGCAGCAGUGGGGAAUAUUGCGCAAUGGGCGGAAGCCUGACGCAGCGACGCCGCGUGGGGGAUGACGGCCUUCGGGUUGUAAACCUCUUUCGACUUCGACGAAGCCUUUGGGUGACGGUAGGGGUGGAAGAAGCACCGGCCAACUACGUGCCAGCAGCCGCGGUAACACGUAGGGUGCGAGCGUUGUCCGGAAUUAUUGGGCGUAAAGAGCUCGUAGGCGGUGUGUCGCGUCGGCCGUGAAAACCUGCAGCUUAACUGUGGGCUUGCGGUCGAUACGGGCAUCACUGGAGUUCGGCAGGGGAGACUGGAAUUCCUGGUGUAGCGGUGAAAUGCGCAGAUAUCAGGAGGAACACCGGUGGCGAAGGCGGGUCUCUGGGCCGAUACUGACGCUGAGGAGCGAAAGCGUGGGGAGCGAACAGGAUUAGAUACCCUGGUA
This 442-nucleotide ribosomal RNA is filed under the name uncultured Pseudonocardia sp. Its description in RNAcentral is "bacterial SSU rRNA". It matches the Rfam family "Bacterial small subunit ribosomal RNA", at positions 341 to 792 of the family's 1533-position model. The record is from RNAcentral. Lineage: Bacteria; Bacillati; Actinomycetota; Actinomycetes; Pseudonocardiales; Pseudonocardiaceae.